Molecule: unclassified non-coding RNA, 283 nt
Filed under: Hevea brasiliensis (rubber tree)
Lineage: Eukaryota; Viridiplantae; Streptophyta; Magnoliopsida; Malpighiales; Euphorbiaceae
Source: RNAcentral
GAUGGCAUUAUAUAGAAUCUAUCUAGUAACACGGCGCAUCCCAGGAAGUCAUUGAGAUGUGACGACCUUGCUCGUAAAUCAUAAUUAUAAAUUGGUGAUAGAAACUAUAGUGACUAAAAAGCCCGGCUGCAGUUCCUUCUCUCGUAUGUAUAUGCUCAAUCCUGGUCAGGAAAAUCUCAAAAUCUGGUUAAGAUUAGUCUCUUCGGGCUUGAGGUUUUGCGAAGCGCCAAGAGCCCAACAUGAACGAUAUAAUAUAUGCUUAUCUAUCACCACAACAUCUAGG